UACGGGGGGGGCAAGCGUUGUUCGGAAUUACUGGGCGUAAAGGGCUCGUAGGCGGCCAACUAAGUCGGACGUGAAAUCCCCAGGCUCAACCUGGGAACUGCGUCCGAUACUGGAUGGCUUGAAUCCGGGAGAGGGAUGCAGAAUUCCAGGUGUAGCGGUGAAAUGCGCAGAUAUCAGGAGGAACACCGGUGGCGAAGGCGGUUCUCUGGGCAUUACCUGACGCUGAGGAGCGAAAGUGUGGGGAGCGAACAGG
RNAcentral lists this ribosomal RNA (253 nucleotides) under uncultured bacterium. RNAcentral describes it as "partial 16S ribosomal RNA". It matches the Rfam family "Bacterial small subunit ribosomal RNA", at positions 524 to 776 of the family's 1533-position model. The record is from RNAcentral.